Mesocricetus auratus (golden hamster) is the source of this 389-nucleotide long non-coding RNA. RefSeq lists it as uncharacterized. Lineage: Eukaryota; Metazoa; Chordata; Mammalia; Rodentia; Cricetidae. The record is from RefSeq and is a predicted model, not a curated record. The transcript has 2 exons.
UAGCCUGCUCAGGCUCUCUAGCCUCUUCUCUCCUUCCCUUGGCUCCUUGAUGAAUUUACCUUUCAGCAUAGAUUUUGUUGCAUCAGUUACUUCAAAAUGUUUGACUUAGGGGAACUUGGACAUGGAAAACGCUGUCACAAAGAAAGGAGCAGAUAUCAGAAGGAUUCAUGCAAGGCAAGGAGUACUGAAGACCUCCAGGAAACUAAACACAGCUAGGAGGAGCUGGGAAGAAUUUGUUACAUGCUCUCAAAGGAACCAACCACCUUCACCUCAGACUUCCACCUUCAAGAACCAUGACCAAAUCAAUUUCUGUAGCUUAAGUCACCUCGUUUGUCAUACUUUGGCUGUAACAGUCAUGGAAAAAUAAUAUAAUAACUUAGAUCAUUUCA